AUUGAACGCUGGCGGCAUGCCUUACACAUGCAAGUCGAACGGCAUCGCGGGAAAGCUUGCUUUCCUGGCGGCGAGUGGCGAACGGGUGAGUAACACAUCGGAACGUACCGGCUAGUGGGGGAUAACCCGUCGAAAGACGGGCUAAUACCGCAUACGCUCUUCGGAGGAAAGCAGGGGACCUUUGGGCCUUGCGCUAGUCGAGCGGCCGAUGUCCGAUUAGCUAGUUGGUGGGGUAAAGGCCUACCAAGGCGACGAUCGGUAGCGGGUCUGAGAGGACGAUCCGCCACACUGGGACUGAGACACGGCCCAGACUCCUACGGGAGGCAGCAGUGGGGAAUCUUGGACAAUGGGGGCAACCCUGAUCCAGCAAUGCCGCGUUGGUGAAGAAGGCCUUCGGGUUGUAAAGCCCUUUCGGCAGGGAAGAAAUCGGCGGGGCGAAUAACCCUGCUGGAUGACGGUACCUGCAGAAGAAGCACCGGCUAACUACGUG
Molecule: ribosomal RNA, 490 nt
Filed under: uncultured bacterium
Lineage: Bacteria
Description: partial 16S ribosomal RNA
Rfam family: Bacterial small subunit ribosomal RNA
Source: RNAcentral